GAAAGCGUGGGUAGCGANCAGGAUUAGAUACCCUGGUAGUCCACGCCGUAAACGAUGAGUGCUAGGUGUUAGGCCCUUUCCGGGGCUUAGUGCCGGAGCUAACGCAAUAAGCACUCCGCCUGGGGAGUACGACCGCAAGGUUGAAACUCAAAGGAAUUGACGGGGGCCCGCACAAGCGGUGGAGCAUGUGGUUUAAUUCGAAGCAACGCGAAGAACCUUACCAGGUCUUGACAUCCCGAUGCUAUUCUUAGAGAUAGGAAGUUACUUCGGUACAUCGGAGACAGGUGGUGCAUGGUUGUCGUCAGCUCGUGUCGUGAGAUGUUGGGUUAAGUCCCGCAACGAGCGCAACCCUUAUUGUUAGUUGCCAUCAUUAAGUUGGGCACUCUAGCGAGACUGCCGGUAAUAAACCGGAGGAAGGUGGGGAUGACGUCAAAUCAUCAUGCCCCUUAUGACCUGGGCUACACACGUGCUACAAUGGUCGGUACAACGAGUUGCGAGCCGGUGACGGCAAGCUAAUCUCUGAAAGCCGAUCUCAGUUCGGAUUGGAGGCUG
RNAcentral lists this ribosomal RNA (552 nucleotides) under uncultured bacterium. Its description in RNAcentral is "bacterial SSU rRNA". It matches the Rfam family "Bacterial small subunit ribosomal RNA", at positions 755 to 1307 of the family's 1533-position model. The record is from RNAcentral.